CCUACGGGAGGCUGCAGUCGAGAAUCAUUCGCAAUGGGCGCAAGCCUGACGAUGCGACGCCGUGUGAACGAAGAAGGCCUUCGGGUUGUAAAGUUCUUUCGCCUGGGAGCAAGAGAAGCAGAUUAAUACCCUGCUGAUUUGAGAGUACCAGGUAAAGAAGCACCGGCUAACUCCGUGCCAGCAGCUGCGGUAAGACGGAGGGUGCAAGCGUUAAUCGGAUUUAUUGGGCGUAAAGGGCGCGUAGGCGGGGAUAUAAGUCAGAUGUGAAAUCCCGGGGCUCAACUCCGGAACGGCAUUUGAAACUGUAUUCCUUGAGGGUAGAAGGAGAGAACGGAAUUCCACGUGUAGCGGUGAAAUGCGUAGAUAUGUGGAAGAACACCGGUGGCGAAGGCGGUUCUCUAUUUUAUUCCUGACGCUGAGGCGCGAAAGCAAGGGGAUCAAACAGGAUUAGAUACCCCAGUAGUC
Molecule: ribosomal RNA, 465 nt
Filed under: uncultured Parachlamydia sp.
Lineage: Bacteria; Pseudomonadati; Chlamydiota; Chlamydiia; Parachlamydiales; Parachlamydiaceae
Description: bacterial SSU rRNA
Rfam family: Bacterial small subunit ribosomal RNA
Source: RNAcentral